RNAcentral lists this ribosomal RNA (253 nucleotides) under uncultured bacterium. RNAcentral describes it as "partial 16S ribosomal RNA". It matches the Rfam family "Bacterial small subunit ribosomal RNA", at positions 524 to 776 of the family's 1533-position model. The record is from RNAcentral.
GACGGAGGAUGCAAGCGUUAUCCGGAAUGAUUGGGCGUAAAGCGUCCGCAGGUGGCAGUUCAAGUCUGCUGUCAAAGACCGGGGCUUAACUUCGGAAAGGCAGUGGAAACUACAUAGCUAGAGUAAGGUAGGGGUAGAGGGAAUUCCUGGUGUAGCGGUGAAAUGCGUAGAGAUCAGGAAGAACACCGGUGGCGAAAGCGCUCUGCUGGACCUUAACUGACACUGAGGGACGAAAGCUAGGGGAGCGAAUGGG